CUGGUUUGAUACAGGUGACAUUGGAUUAAUGGAUUGUCAUGGUAACUUGUGGCUCCUUGGACGUACAAAUGGUCGCAUCAAGAGUGGCGGGGAGAACAUUUACCCUGAAGAGGUAAUAAAGUCGAGUAAGAUUAUAUAGGCAGUAAAACACUUGGAAGAUUUUUAGUGCUGGUGAAAGAAUAUGAUGUUUUAUUACAAAGUUUAAUCCUUCAAAAGGGAAACACAAGUGUUUUGUUAAAACAAAAUAAUUAUGUUAUGUUACACUAGACAUUUCUAGGAUAUAGAUUCCUUGCAUUAGAAUAUAACCUUCACUAAAAUAUCUUUAAACAAUCUACACCUUUGAUUUGAGAUUGGAUGACUAAGAUUAAUUAGUUAUGCAUUUAACGCGAGGCACCCGAAUCCACAUUUCUACUAAACAUGAACAUGUUAUUUGUUUGUAGGUUGAAGCAAUUCUACUUGAACAUCCAGGGAUUGCAAGAGUUGUUAUUGUGGGAAUACCAGAUGCACGUUUCACAGAAAUGGUAGCAGCAUGUAUCCAACCAAGAGAAAAUUGGCAAUGGUUAGAGCAUUCUACUUCAAAUGAAGAGUUUCACUUAUCUAGAAAGAAUCUUCAGCAAUACUGUCUGGAAAAUAAUUUAAGCAGGUUUGUAUCCAAACAAAAACUCAUGUUUGUUAAGCUUUUCAAUUAAAAUAAGUUACAGAUGUUACAUUUUUUUUUCUCCCUUCAGGUUUAAGAUACCAAAGAUAUUCAUUGAAUGGAGAAAGCCUUUUCCACUCACUACUACAGGAAAAAUAAGAAGAGACCAAGUCCGAAAGGAGGUUCUGUCUGAGAUACAAUCUUUGCAUAGUAAUCUCUGAUGGAAGUUUCUUUUUCCAAUCCUGUUUUCUAGAAAACUACGCAAAUUAUUUGGAAUUAUACUUUCAGAUAGAGGAAAAAAAGUUUUUCUGUCCAGAAAUAUAUUGUGAGGAAAACUAGUAUUUUUUUGGAAAGUAUAUUUCUAAAGUGACUGCACUCGCGGGAUAAAUCAAUUGAGUGCAUAUUUUUUUCUUUAAAACUUUGUAAUUGCAUGAUAUAAUUUUUAUAUAAAGAUUAUGCAAUAAAAUGAAUACUGAGAGGUAGUACUCCAAAUCAUCAAUUUUUCCUCAGGCAAUGGACUCCAAUCUUGGGUGAAACAAAUAGGCCUCAGAUGGAGACCAUAUUCUAUAGCCUUUUACACCAUUUCCUUACCCCAAAAUAAUCCUUUCUUAGAUCUAGGUUCAAGUUUACCCUCAUUAACAUGGUAAUAAGCAGGACAACCAAGAAUUUGAGUAAUUAGCAGGUUUAUUAGACCAUACCUCAAAUGGAGUCUUACAGUCUAUAGCAGUAGAGGGAGAACAUUUACCAGAUAACAUUUUGUGCUUAUAGCCUCUGCUUGGAAACUCCUAUUCAGCCCGGCAUUUGAAAACAUACAACGAGCUCUUUCCAAAAAGUUAUAUUCAUUCGCUCAGCAACACCAUUCUUUUGUGGAGUAUUUCUCACCGUAUAUUGCCUU
RNAcentral lists this long non-coding RNA (1532 nucleotides) under Medicago truncatula (barrel medic). RNAcentral's name for it is "long non-coding RNA (MTRU_LNC008168)". The record is from RNAcentral. Lineage: Eukaryota; Viridiplantae; Streptophyta; Magnoliopsida; Fabales; Fabaceae.